GCCUUCGUGGUGUAGUGGUAGCAGAUUCGGCUUGUAUUCGAGAAGUCCAGAUUCUAGUCCCGGCGAGGGCA
This is a non-coding RNA of Stegodyphus mimosarum, 71 nucleotides long. NCBI's taxonomy places the organism in Eukaryota, Metazoa, Arthropoda, Arachnida, Araneae, Eresidae. The record is from Rfam.